AUAUCAUAAGCGGAGGAAAGAACUAACAAGGAUUCCCCUAGUAACGGCGAGUGAAGCGGGAAGAGCUCAAAUUUGUAAUCUGGCACUUUCAGUGUCCGAGUUGUAAUCUCGAGAAGUGUUUUCCGCGCCGGACCGCAUACAAGUCUGUUGGAAUACAGCGUCAUAGUGGUGAGAACCCCGUAACUGAUGCGGAUGCCCGGUGCUUUGUGAUACACUUUCGAAGAGUCGAGUUGUUUGGGAAUGCAGCUCAAAUUGGGUGGUAAAUUCCAUCUAAAGCUAAAUAUUGGCGAGAGACCGAUAGCGAACAAGUACCGUGAGGGAAAGAUGAAAAGCACUUUGGAAAGAGAGUUAACAGUACGUGAAAUUGUUGGAAGGGAAACGAUUGAAGUCAGACUUGUUAUCUGGAGUUCAGCCUUUCGGUGUACUCUCCAGUUUACAGGCCAGCAUCAGUUUUCGGGGCGGGAAAAUCGUAAUUAGAAGGUAGCAGCCUAGCUGUGUUAUAGCUUUUUACUGGAUUCCGCUUUGGGGACUGAGGAACGCAGUGUGCUUUUAGCAAUACCCUCGGGUAUUUCACACUUAGGAUGCUGGUGGAAUGGCUUUAAACGACCCGUCUUGAC
This 617-nucleotide ribosomal RNA is filed under the name Curvibasidium nothofagi. RNAcentral describes it as "eukaryotic LSU rRNA". It matches the Rfam family "Eukaryotic large subunit ribosomal RNA", at positions 40 to 658 of the family's 3401-position model. Lineage: Eukaryota; Fungi; Basidiomycota; Microbotryomycetes. The record is from RNAcentral.